RNAcentral lists this ribosomal RNA (424 nucleotides) under uncultured bacterium. RNAcentral's name for it is "bacterial SSU rRNA". It matches the Rfam family "Bacterial small subunit ribosomal RNA", at positions 11 to 436 of the family's 1533-position model. The record is from RNAcentral.
GUUUGAUCCUGGUUCAGGACGAACGCUGGCGGCUUGCUUAACACUUGCAAUUCAAGCGGAUAUGCCCUUCCGGGUACUCAACCAGCGAACGAGUGAUUAACUACACUGAUCAAUCUGCCCUUAUCUUCGGGAUAUCCCCGGGAAACCUGGAUUAAUACCCAAUAUGACCUCGGCCGACCUCGGCCUUGGUGGAAAGUUUUUCGGCUAAGGAUGAACUCGCGGCCUAUCAGCUUGUUGGUGGGGUAAUGGCCUACCAAGGCGACGAUCGGGUAGCCGGCCUGAAAGGAGCAACCGGCCACACUGGGACUGAAACACCGCCCACACUCCUACGGGAGGCAGCUGUGGGGAAUAUUGCGCAGUGGGCGAAUGCCUGACACAACCACCCCGCGUGGGGGAUGAGUGCCUUCAGGUUGUACACCCCUUU